CUGGUGCCGGAGAGAUCCGGUGAAAAGGGAAUCGAGUGCAAAUCUCGAACGAACUCGUCACUGUGAGCAGGGAGGGCUGCCAUAGGCUGUAAAAAGCCGGUCACUGGAAAUGGGAAGGCGGCAGCCUUCAAAGCUGUAAGCCAGGAGACCUGCCAGGAGCGG
RNAcentral lists this non-coding RNA (162 nucleotides) under bovine gut metagenome. The record is from RNAcentral.